Molecule: ribosomal RNA, 253 nt
Filed under: uncultured bacterium
Lineage: Bacteria
Description: partial 16S ribosomal RNA
Rfam family: Bacterial small subunit ribosomal RNA
Source: RNAcentral
UCCGUAGGGUGCGAGCGUUAAUCGGAAUUACUGGGCGUAAAGCGUACGUAGGCGGACCGUUAAGUCGGGGGUGAAAUCCCAGGGCUCAACCCUGGAACUGCCUUCGAUACUGGCGGUCUGGAGUCCGGGAGAGGUGAGUGGAACUCCUAGUGUAGAGGUGAAAUUCGUAGAUAUUAGGAAGAACACCAGUGGCGAAGGCGGCUCACUGGCCCGGUACUGACGCUGAGGUACGAAAGCGUGGGGAGCAAACAGG